RNAcentral lists this ribosomal RNA (439 nucleotides) under uncultured bacterium. RNAcentral's name for it is "partial 16S ribosomal RNA". It matches the Rfam family "Bacterial small subunit ribosomal RNA", at positions 339 to 795 of the family's 1533-position model. The record is from RNAcentral.
CUACGGGGUGCAGCAGUGAGGAAUAUUGCACAAUGGGGGGAACCCUGAUGCAGCAACGCCGCGUGGAGGAUGACGCAUUUCGGUGUGUAAACUCCUUUUAUAUGUCAAGAAAAUGACGGUAGCAUAUGAAUAAGCACCGGCUAACUCCGUGCCAGCAGCCGCGGUAAUACGGAGGGUGCAAGCGUUACUCGGAAUCACUGGGCGUAAAGGACGCGUAGGCGGGUUGGAAAGUCAGGUGUGAAAUCCUACAGCUUAACUGUAGAACUGCACUUGAAACUUCUAAUCUAGAGUAUGGGAGGGGGAGAUGGAAUUAGUGGUAUAGGGGUAAAAUCCGUAGAUAUCACUAGGAAUACCUAAAGCGAAGGCGAUCUCCUGGAACAUUACCGACGCUAAGGCGUGAAAGCGUGGGGAGCAAACAGGAUUAGAUACCCCCGUAGUC